This 253-nucleotide ribosomal RNA is filed under the name uncultured bacterium. Its description in RNAcentral is "partial 16S ribosomal RNA". It matches the Rfam family "Bacterial small subunit ribosomal RNA", at positions 524 to 776 of the family's 1533-position model. The record is from RNAcentral.
UACGGAGGUCUCAAGCGUUGUUCGGAUUCAUUGGGCGUAAAGGGUGCGUAGGCGGCGCGGUAAGUCGGGUGUGAAAUCUCGGAGCUUAACUCCGAAACUGCAUUCGAUACUGCCGUGCUUGAGGACUGGAGAGGAGACUGGAAUUUACGGUGUAGCGGUGAAAUGCGUAGAUAUCGUAAGGAAGACCAGUGGCGAAGGCGGGUCUCUGGACAGUUCCUGACGCUGAAGCACGAAGGCCAGGGGAGCAAACGGG